GCGUCAGUAGUGCGAUGGCUCAGAGCGCGCUCCCGGAUAGAGUGAGAUGCGGGUUCGAGUCCCGCCUGGCGUA
Parelaphostrongylus tenuis is the source of this 73-nucleotide non-coding RNA. Lineage: Eukaryota; Metazoa; Nematoda; Chromadorea; Rhabditida; Metastrongylidae. The record is from the annotation of a GenBank genome assembly.